Pantherophis guttatus is the source of this 612-nucleotide long non-coding RNA. RefSeq lists it as uncharacterized. NCBI's taxonomy places the organism in Eukaryota, Metazoa, Chordata, Lepidosauria, Squamata, Colubridae. The record is from RefSeq and is a predicted model, not a curated record.
GCCUUCUAAACAGAACUCUGAUUCUGACAUCCCCUAAAGAUGUUAAAGAGGCUGAAGAUGUUACCUAGCCUGGUAAUGAAACUUUUGGAAACCAACCCACAAGCUCGGAGAACGAAGUUUUACCCUCAUCCUACAUCUGAGCUAUAGAUAUUUGCCACUAUAGCGAAGGAAUUGCUUGUUAACUGCUUUGCAGCUAUUAGGAAUCUUCAGAUCAAAAAGUUUUACAACACUAGGUGCAGAAUUAAAGAGCUUCUAUCAAUAACUUGCUUAAUCAUAGUCCUCAUGAACAUUUGAGAAGUGCAGGUUCUCAAUGCUUGAUUCCGCUUGUGGAUUACAUGGGCAAACAGAAAUUCUUCAUGUGCCAUUAUGGGAUUAACCUGGCCAAUCUAAGUGGUUUCUUACCACUAAUCUUCUGUAGAAAUCAGCUCACACACAGUUUCUUUUUACCUCUUAACAGAUUGUUGGCAUAUUUACUGCGGUAAAAGCAUAGCAAACAUUAAGGGGUUUAUGAUGUUUUAAAAAUAAAUUGAGGAGUGGUUAAUGGCAAACACUGUUAUAUACAGCAUUUCACUGAUGAACUAGAGAUAAAGUAGUCUACCUUUUGACCCAGUG